Morone saxatilis (striped sea-bass) is the source of this 6461-nucleotide long non-coding RNA. RefSeq lists it as uncharacterized. The record is from RefSeq and is a predicted model, not a curated record. NCBI's taxonomy places the organism in Eukaryota, Metazoa, Chordata, Actinopteri, Moronidae. The transcript has 4 exons.
AAAUCAAUCCGUCACCACGCGCACAGGAAGGAAGCCUGGGCUGGGGAGAGAUACUGCUCUUAAUGACAUGUCUCUGUGUGCCUGGACCAGAGGGGGAAGUAACCGGAUAUUUAAACAGAGAUAAGAGUGUGUGCCAAAGGGGCCGGGAUUGGAUAUGACUGAAACCCCAUGGCAACCGGCCGGGGCUAUCGGAUAUGGAAAGCUCCUGUUUGUCUGAAGUGAACUGAGUGAACUGGAAGGGAAGGGGGGCGGUGAUACUACUUGGCACACUCGUCUGUUCCACUUCAGCUUGAUCCAUGUGUUGUGAUGCCUGCAGUGUCCUGGUUUGGCCCUUCAACAUUAAAUGACCAACAGUGAGUCUCAAGGAGCAUAUACAAUGUAAAACUAAGAUAUUAAAUGCAGCAUCGAAACAGCCGCUAGGAGGCACGGAGGAACACUGGCUGUUUAAAAAGAACAAGCUGCACAGAACGGCACUGGGAUUAUAAUGUCGUCCAGUCGGCCUGCGGGUCCACUACUUUGGUUGAGACUGAAAUAUCUGGAAAUCCCUGGAUUUUCAUGGUCCCCAGAGGAUGAAUUCCAGUGACUUUUGUGAUCCUCUGACUUUUCAUACAGCACAACCAGCAGGUGAAACUUAUCACUUAUCCAGUGAAAUAUCACAAUAUCUGUCAGAUAGAUCGGCACUGCAGGCCUCCCCAAAAACACUCACAACUUCAGCCUCACUGAUAACUCCACUCUGUCUCCCCCCCCACACAUCCGCAACCUCUGAGUCAUUUUUGACAGCAACCUCUCCUUUGAACACCACAUCAACCAAAUCACCAGAACUAGCUCUUUCCCCCCGGAAUCUUUUAACUACUAGCUUCUCUUCACCAAUCACUCUCCUUCUCUGCUGCUGAUCCACGCUUUCAUCAUAUCCAGAUUUGACUACUGCAACAGUGUUUUAUAUGGCACAUCAUCCACAGUCCUAAAUAUCCAGAACACCACUCAGCCGCUCCCACUCCUGUGACCACAUCAUCCCUGUCCUUUAGAACCUCCACUGGCUCCCUGUCCCACAGCAGAUCCAAAUCAAAGUCCUUCUCCUCACUCACAAAAGCCCUCUAUAACACUCCUUCCUAAAGCCUCCGAUCUUCUGAUGCCAAGCUCCCAUCGCCACCACUCAGGGCCAAGCAUCAUACCUGGGGUGACGGAACCUUCUCUGUAGCUGCUCACUCCCCAACCAUAUCCCAGACUCUACCAUCUGUCCACAUUCAACUCACUAUCAAAAUCUAUUUCAACUUAUGUACUUUAACUUUGCUCUAUAAUUAAAACAUAUUAUUAUUAUUAUUAUUAUUAUUAUUAUUAGGCCCACAGAGAUUCUUUGCUAUGUGUGUUGGUGAGUCCCAGACUUACAUCUGGCAUUUGUCGUUCUGACUGAAACUAUUGGAGAACUUGCGGUGACAUUUGGUUCAGACAUCCAUGUUUCUCUCAGGAUGAAUUGUAAUCACUUUGCUGUUCCAUGUACUUGAGCUAGCGCCAUCAUCAGGUCAAAAUGUAAAUUUGUCCAAAGCUUUGGUUUAUGAUCAAAUACAACCAUUGACCCACAUUCCCAUUGGCUUCAGGUGCACUUUGUACUAAUCAGCAAGUGUUAGCAUGCUAACACACUUAACUAAAAUGGUGCACUGAAACUUAGACCUGCUAAACAUCAUGUUAGCAGUCUGCACACAUGAAUGCCUGUGCUUAGAAUGGCAUAGGCCUACCGGUUUUUAGUAAUAUUUUAGUACUAGCGUUAGACGUUGGUUAGUUUUUUUGUACCAUGUGGUUCGUUCCUAUACGUACAGCUGCAUAGUUUCCCCCUGGGAAAGUGUCAAUGUCAAUAUAAGCAAGUUAGCAUGUGUUAGCAUACAGUUGCUGGCAUGGCUAUAGACUUAAACUAGACCUAAACUGCUUAAUUUCUAAUGUGGCUCCAGUUUAUUAGUAAGGUUGCUAGUGGAAAAAAUAUACUAAAAACACAAUUAAUGAUUGAAUUAAUUGAUUAAGUCAAAUGAAUGAAUGAAUACUCUUUAUCAACACGAGUCCAGCACUUCAGCUGCUGCGAGCUAAUACUAUUACCACAGUUUUUAAAUUCAACACAAAAUUCAUUGUAAAUUCAAAGCCCUCUGAAUAAUUGAUUCUAAAACAACACAAAAAGCCGUCGCACAGCUACAUGUCAUCUCCGGAAAUCUAGGACAUGGGAACUGACUGGUGAACACUGUAAAACAUUUCAUACAUUUUGUGCAUUAUUAAUGACUAAUCUGCUGAAGGAGAUGAUAGAGGUGAGCAAUGUGUGUGAUGUUUGUUCCUCUACCUCUGCACAGGACCGGGUUUAAAAAUAUCAUCCUGUUUUGUUUCUGUUACAUAACCACAGAACAAGUUACAGGCAUCAUUCUUUAUUCCCGCUCUCAUCUCUCCUGAAUUCCCAAAGUUUCAGUGUUUUUGUUCCAAAUGCUUUUAACUUGGUAGCCCAGAGGUUUGACCCACUGAGCACUCAGUCAAAUGAAAAUGGCAGUUUCUUUGUGAGUGCGGGGCAAUGACUCCACACAGAUAAAGAAUCGGCUUUUACCACUCACGUUUCUUUGCUUCUUUAAAUCGUACUUCAGAAGGUAGAGCUUUGUUUUUUCUUUUCUUUCAUUCAUUUAGUGAUGAUUUUUGUAAAGCAAGAGUCUCAAACUUAAUCUAAAAUUUCAGCUAAACACAAGCAACUUGCCCUUUGGUCUCCUCUCCAUAGUACCUAGCAUAUUGUGUUUGGUAGAGUGAUGCUGGCUGAUGCAUUCGUUGUGAAUAGCAGGACCUAAUGGAACAUUGAACUCAAAAAAAUAAUCAGUUGACCUCUCUUGAAAAAUGAUGUCCUCACUGUACCCUACCUGUACAGCACCAAGCUGGACGGAUAAAGACAGAUUAGCUGUUUAGACUAGAUAUUUUUCUCAGGAGGUGGUGGAGACAAAAACAGAGCUAAAAGGAGAAGGAAUAUUGGACUUUUGUUUGCAAGAUGGCAAGAAACACAACCAAAAAUGGAUGAUAAUGUAUCUGCUAUUCACCGUAUAAACUUUUUAACGUGAUAAUAUUACAUUUGUUACGCUGCCCCCAAGUGGCCAAAAAAAAUCUGUUUCUGAGGUGUUAUAUGUUAAAUAAAUGCAUAUUUUCAGCCUUGCUGGAAAAUUAAAUAAUUUUCCUAAAAGUUAAAAAUAGUUGGGGACCAGAAUAGGUCAGAUCACUGUGAGACCCUCUCUCACUUAAGCUAACUAGAUGGAGCAAACUGGUCAUAAUAGUGCCAUUCAUAUGUAAUCAAGAUGACAAACCACCCGCUUGUAAUUUCCAGAGUUUUGUUGUUUUACCAACUUUCCAGUGUCAAACCCAGCUUUGGACUACCUGCUGCCUGUCUUAAGACACAGAAAAUAAAGUUAAAGAAAUAAAAUAAAAUAAACAUAAUAGUAAAAUAUAGUGGAAUGCUUUAAUAAUUACUUUGUUUUGUUUUCCAUCUCAAUAAAAAACGAAAAUUGAGAGUCAGAAUCCCGGCAUUGGUUGGUUUACGUGUAAUUGCAAACAGACAGCAGCCUGUAUGACACACUGUGUGCUCUGCCUUAAAAUACUGUAGCACCAAAACUGGCUGCAUGACGUUUGCUGGAAAGAAUGCUUCAUUAAAUGGAAUUCUGUGAAAUUAAACAAAUGAAAGUCACUUUUUGUUGUCUGUUUCUAACGUUUGCUGACUUCCACUUAACAUUUCUUCCAGUGUUUAGAGAAGAGCUUGUCUGGGUGAUUUUAUGACCAUGAUACUGGUUGUUUAAAGGACACACACUCUCAGCUGAGGCUGCAGUUUGUGUUUGCGGGGCCAUAAAGUCAAUUAGAGUGAGGUUUAACCAACAAAGCUUUCCUGUUGUACUUCCUUCUUUUGAAAAGGAGACUGGGCUGAUGAACUGAUUCCAAGGCUUGUCCUGGAAUAUCAUGAAAUCUAAAUCAAGUGGUAUUUGCCCAUCAUCAUUUUACCCAGUUUGCAACUAUACAGGAUGAUACCAUCAAUGUCAGCGGAUUAUUUGAUUGUUAUAUCAAAUAUCAAGUUUUUUUCCACUGCACAAAAUAAUUUGUCCAUCUUUCUAACCAGUCUUUUUGGCCUUCAUUAUAUUUUUUGCUUUACUAAUGUAGUGAAGUUUUCCUUGUUUGAGGGAAAUGAGUGUCUGUAUCUUGAACAGAAUAAGGCAUUAAUGUUAAAGUAAGAAAGUGACAGAAAGUUCUCUUGAAAUUGGUUUAAUUAUAAUGAAAACUGUUAAAAAUAAAUCUCACAAAUUCUGUAUUGUUUGAAAAAGAAAUAAUUUAGGAUUUACUCAAUAUAAAAAUUAUCUUUUGCAGAUUGACUUCAUCCAAAGUGGGUCGAAGUUAAUUAUAAGUCCAAUUUUUACUCUCUUUUAGCUCUGUUUUAGGUCUCCACCAAUUCCUGAGGAAAAUAUGAUGCUAUGGGAAACAAUAAAGUUUUGGGCCGACAGCUACACACUGAACUGGGUAUGAAGCUCAGAUGAGCUGCAGAUUCAAGCAAUAAAUCUUUGGAGGUUCAUCACUAUGAGCGAACCCUUUACAUUGAGACAUAUAUACAAAUAUAGAUUAUAGCUGCUUUAAGGAUUAUUUGAUGCUACAACUAAAUAUAUAUGAGUAAAUGGUGGUGUUUUAAAGUAAUAUUUCCAAAUAUUAAAAAAAACAGACAACAGAUGUUACAACAGAACAGCGAUCUAACAGACACUCACCAAAACUAUAUCAGAGAUUGAGAUGGAAAAAUUACCACAACAAGUCUUUACCAUUUCCUUACACAUUUGCUGAUGCUACCAAAGCCUGACUCUGUUGUUGCUCUGGUCAAGGCUGUUGAUAACAUGAGGUUUUCGGGGGCAGGGGUUGCUCUGCAGUGACCUUGCAACAAAUGGCUCAAUUAUCCAAGGUACCAGCAGACUCCAUGCAUUCUUUGGUUAACCCCUUGCUGUCACGCACAGUCACACACACACUCACUCAAGUGUGCACUGGCCAAAGAGUUCAGAGGUCACCGCACUCUGAGCAGAAGCCCUUAACUUUUCUUCUCUCUCUUCCACUUGGACUAAUUUGGUGAUUUAAUGGCUGAGGAGUUGGCUUGCAGAAGGUUAUAGGAGAGGUAGUUGAAGUCAUAUGCAGUAAACUUUUCUCAUAAAUGCCAGGUAAAGUGUAUUGAAGUCGUGAAAUGCAUCAUAAAGACUCUUUGCAGUUUAAAAAGUUGGAUUAAACAAGGAGUUCUUUAUACUGCGGAGCUGGUUUAGGUUCUGUGACAGUCAGGGACAGUGAAAACCAUCGUCUCAGUGUGUGAAAAUCGAAAUCUGUUUCAUUAGUCUUAAAGUCUUUAAAUAAAACCGCAGCCCACAAGAAGAGUAUGUGUGAUGGAAUGUGAAAUGAAAAUCAAUCACAAAUGCUUUUGCUGUUAAAAAUCCCUUCCAGUCUCUCUCCUCAGAUUUUAUUUUGUUCACUUCAACAGGAGAUCAUUCAGUCGCAGCAGUAUUUUGCCACACAUAGAGCUCUAAUUACUGCAGUUUAUCACAGAUUGUUUACUGUAGUCUUGCUAAUAAGAUUAUACUACUAACAUUGUAUUCAUUGUAAGCUGCAUAAGCUAAGCAUCAUUAACUAAAUGCUUAAAUGCAACUGUAAAAAAGGAACGAGUUAAAUGAGUGAACUAAACCAUUUUGCAGAUACUAACAUGCAACUGACAAAGUAAGAGUAAUCUCAUUCCUUUCCACACAGAGUUGAACUUAUUACUAAAGUUUUGAAAAGGUUGCCAGGAGGUUAAGAGAAAAAAAUAAAUAAUUAACCAACUGUAAUCUACAAACCCCUGCUGCCCACAAAGUUUCACUUCUUAAGAUUCUUUAGCCAUUCUAGGUUCUGGUAAAGUGAGCUAUUAGUGUUAAACCAACUGUAUGAGCAUCUCUGCUGAAUUAAUAUACAGUAUGAAUUCAUAAAGAAUUCAUAAAGUCAGUAUAGAAUAAAUAAGUGUAUACUUCAGUACUUAUGUAUUUCUUACAUACUUCCACUCCACGUUCGCAAUUUCCUUGUCUCGUCUCUUGUGUUCUUCUUCUAAAUUGAAUUAUUUCUUAUGUUCUAUGUGUAUGUAGCGUGAAGGAAUUACAAGUUUUAUUUCUUUGUGCAUUUUUGUGUGUACAAUGACAAAUACAUGACCUUUAAUAGUUUAAUAGCUUAAAUGAACUCUCAAAUGUACAUUCUGGCAACAGCUCUUUUCAUUUCAGUUAUGAAUCCUCCCCGACAGUAAUGACAGUGAUCUUGAAAGUUGAAAUCAGGUUUGAUCAAAUGAACCAGACACUGAGUUGUCCAUAUCACUGUGAAACCAGAUAAAUUAAUUUAACUCAAAAAAUGUAUUAUAUCAAAAAUUGUAAGUAAAACUAAUUCAGUUUUGUAAGUUAAAAAUCUCGAUCAAGUAGCUUUAGUAAUUU